Molecule: ribosomal RNA, 673 nt
Filed under: uncultured beta proteobacterium
Lineage: Bacteria; Pseudomonadati; Pseudomonadota; Betaproteobacteria
Description: bacterial SSU rRNA
Rfam family: Bacterial small subunit ribosomal RNA
Source: RNAcentral
CACAUGCAAGUCGAACGGUAACAGGUCUUCGGAUGCUGACGAGUGGCGAACGGGUGAGUAAUACAUCGGAACGUGCCCGAUCGUGGGGGAUAACGAGGCGAAAGCUUUGCUAAUACCGCAUACGAUCUACGGAUGAAAGCGGGGGAUCUUCGGACCUCGCGCGGACGGAGCGGCCGAUGGCAGAUUAGGUAGUUGGUGGGAUAAAAGCUUACCAAGCCGACGAUCUGUAGCUGGUCUGAGAGGAUGAUCAGCCACACUGGGACUGAGACACGGCCCAGACUCCUACGGGAGGCAGCAGUGGGGAAUUUUGGACAAUGGGCGAAAGCCUGAUCCAGCCAUGCCGCGUGCAGGAUGAAGGCCUUCGGGUUGUAAACUGCUUUUGUACGGAACGAAAAGCCUCUUUCUAAUAAAGAGGGGUCAUGACGGUACCGUAAGAAUAAGCACCGGCUAACUACGUGCCAGCAGCCGCGGUAAUACGUAGGGUGCAAGCGUUAAUCGGAAUUACUGGGCGUAAAGCGUGCGCAGGCGGUUUUGUAAGACAGAGGUGAAAUCCCCGGGCUCAACCUGGGAACUGCCUUUGUGACUGCAAGGCUGGAGUGCGGCAGAGGGGGAUGGAAUUCCGCGUGUAGCAGUGAAAUGCGUAGAUAUGCGGAGGAACACCGAUGGCGAAGGC